UACGUAGGCAGCGAGCGUUGUUCGGAAUUACUGGGCGUAAAGGGUGCGUAGGCGGUUCUUUAAGUUCGGUGUGAAAUCUCCUGGCUCAACUGGGAGGGUGCGCCGGAAACUGGAGUGCUUGAGCGUGGGAGAGGAAAGCGGAAUUCCUGGUGUAGCGGUGAAAUGCGUAGAUAUCAGGAGGAACACCUGUGGUGAAGACGGCUUUCUGGACCAUAGCUGACGCUGAGGCACGAAAGCGUGGGUAGCAAACAGG
Molecule: ribosomal RNA, 253 nt
Filed under: uncultured bacterium
Lineage: Bacteria
Description: partial 16S ribosomal RNA
Rfam family: Bacterial small subunit ribosomal RNA
Source: RNAcentral